CAGUUAGUUACACAUUCUUAAUUAUCCUCAGUAAUGCUAAGCUUCAUUCAUAUUUCUUUUUUCCUGCUUAUGUUGCCAAUUGGUAGGGUUUAGUUACUUAAACAUCUCAAGCCUUUUACUUCCAUGGUUCCAUCUACUGUGAUGGCCAAUUGCAUUUUUCAUCAGUAUGGCAAAGAAACAUGAUGCAAUAAACCAUAUUGUAAGAAAAUCCUCUUGGCAAUACAUCAAUUAGAGUACUGAGCGCUUAAUAUUCCAAUAUUGUACUAAGUUAUCAACUGUACAAGGCAAUUAUCUGUGUUGACUGUUGAAGUUUUAAUCUCUCGAGCAUGCCGUCCCGUGCUCUCUUGAGCGAGUUAGUGCCUGCAGAUGAGCUGAUCUUCAGGUGUAUUGGAAAAAAAAAAGGAAAGGAAGAAAUCGGCUUUAAGUAGAGUUUGCUGGGACCAUUUUGCAGAUUAUAAAUGGAAGAAUUUUGGCAUACUAGUUAAAUGCCUGUGCUUUACUAUGUAUAAAAGGAAAAAAAAUCAUAAUAUUGCCUAAAAUAAAUAAAAACAUAUUUU
Non-coding RNA from Oryza sativa Japonica Group (Japanese rice), 557 nucleotides. Lineage: Eukaryota; Viridiplantae; Streptophyta; Magnoliopsida; Poales; Poaceae. The record is from RefSeq and is a predicted model, not a curated record.